CAGCAGCCGCGGUAAUACGUAGGGUGCGAGCGUUAAUCGGAAUUACUGGGCGUAAAGCGUGCGCAGGCGGUUUGUUAAGAUAGGCGUGAAAUCCCCGGGCUCAACCUGGGAACUGCGUUUAUGACUGGCAGGCUAGAGUAUGGCAGAGGGGGGUGGAAUUCCACGUGUAGCAGUGAAAUGCGUAGAGAUGUGGAGGAACACCGAUGGCGAAGGCAGCCCCCUGGGCCAAUACUGACGCUCAUGCACGAAAGCGUGGGUAGCAAACAGGAUUAGAUACCCUGGUAGUCCACGCCCUAAACGAUGUCAACUAGGUGUUGGGUGGGUAAAACCAUUUAGUACCGGAGCUAACGCGUGAAGUUGACCGCCUGGGGAGUACGGCCGCAAGGUUAAAACUCAAAGGAAUUGACGG
This 409-nucleotide ribosomal RNA is filed under the name uncultured bacterium. RNAcentral's name for it is "bacterial SSU rRNA". It matches the Rfam family "Bacterial small subunit ribosomal RNA", at positions 509 to 916 of the family's 1533-position model. The record is from RNAcentral.